AGAAAAAUACGAAUUGGUCCCAGGCCAUGGAAGAGCUCGAAAAGGAUUUUGAGAAGCAAGUAAGAGAAGUAGAGUACAGACUGGGCCCUAGCAAACCCACAGCAGGCCUUGAGGUAUUUAUGACAAGAACAGCAGAACUUGAUGGAAAAUUUGACAUGUAAGGUGCAGGAGAAAUAUAAGUAGGACCCGAUUGUAGCCUGGAGGACAGCUGAGAAGAAGGAAGCCUCCUUAAGGUGAUUGGCUGAAGAACAGCAGCCAUAGGUGAUCUAAGGCUGCCCCAAAGCAGCUGGAGGAGCAUCAGGGCUAGGAGCUGAGCAGGACCCAACCAGCUCUGCACACCUAGGAGCAGGAAGCAGAGCAGCUGGUCCAUGAAAGUGAAAUCCAGCAGGAGACUUGCCUUCACCAGGCCCAACUAAGUGAGCCAGAACGAACAGACCACUGAGUGCUCUAAGGCACAGAUGGAGAGAGCUCACUAUGAUGCCAAGGAGCAGAACUGGCUGCAGGAACACCUGCAGCACAUGGAGAAUCUACAGAAGGAAAAUGCGGAGUUAGAGAGGGUCAGUGGGGAGCUGCGGCAGGUUUGGCUGAAGAUCAAAGAGGUUGAGCAGGCCUGCCGCCACCUUGCAGCCCGAAUUGAAAUGCUGGAGGCACAGGUGAUUCUGCUUCUUUUAUUUAACUGCAGUCCUUGGUCUUGUCAUGUGGAUCUGUCUCCUCUCUACUUUAACUCCAUGGACCAGAAUG
Non-coding RNA from Phascolarctos cinereus (koala), 741 nucleotides. Lineage: Eukaryota; Metazoa; Chordata; Mammalia; Diprotodontia; Phascolarctidae. The record is from RefSeq and is a predicted model, not a curated record.